Molecule: ribosomal RNA, 776 nt
Filed under: uncultured Neocallimastigales
Lineage: Eukaryota; Fungi; Neocallimastigomycota; Neocallimastigomycetes; Neocallimastigales
Description: partial large subunit ribosomal RNA
Rfam family: Eukaryotic large subunit ribosomal RNA
Source: RNAcentral
UCAGACGAUGCGUCAUGCAUAUCAAUAAGCGGAGGAAAAGAAACUAACAAGGAUUCCCCUAGUAACGGCGAGUGAAGCGGGAAGAGCUCAAAUUUGAAAUCUUAAAGGGUUUCCCUUUACGAAUUGUAGUUUAAAGAAGUGUUUUCUGUUGAGGUUUUGGUAAAAGUUCUUUGGAAUAGGACAUCAUAGAGGGUGAGAAUCCCGUAUUUGACCUUUACUUUCAACUUUGUGAUACACUUUCAAAGAGUCGGAUUGUUUGGGAAUGCAGUCCGAAAAUGGGUGGUAAAUUUCAUCUAAAGCUAAAUAUUGGCGAGAGACCGAUAGCGAACAAGUACCGUGAGGGAAAGAUGAAAAGAACUUUGAAAAGAGAGUUAAACAGUACGUGAAAUUGUCAAAAGGGAAGCGUUUGACACCAGUGUUGUUUUUCUGAAAAUCAAUUAAAGAACUGUUUAUGCUAAGCUGUUUAGACUUUAUCAGCUAAUCUGUUUAGUUUUGAGCUUUUCUUUAAUGCACUUUUCAGUUAACAAGUCAACAUCAAUUUCUUUUGCUGUAAAAAAGCUUGAGGAAGGUGGCUUGAGAUUCGUCUUAAGUGUUUAUAGCCUCUUGCCUAUGCAGUCGGAGAGAUUGAGGUCUGCAGCGUAGAUCCUUCGGGGCUAAAUGCAUUUGUGCUAAGUUAUAGCAUUUUAUAGACAACUUGUUGACUAUGAUUUGUCUUGUAGCUUACUCGCUUAUGUUAUUUUACCUACGCUUAGGAUGUUGAAUCUGUGCGAGACUAC